AUGCUCUCCACCGGCCGCGCGGUGACCUCGCCCGCGCGCGCUGCCCAGCACCGGUUCAUGGGCGCACCGAGGACGGUGGUGUUCCUCGCCGGCGACCACGGGAAGCGAGCUGCUGCUUCUGUGGCAGCGCGCGCCGCGGGCUCGUCCCACCCCGCUGUCUGCCUCGAGGCGGCCGCGCCAUGGAGCAUGGACUGUGUCGCGGCGCCGGCGACCGUGUCGCACGAGGAGAGCGUGCGCCAGGUCGUGCUCAAGCAGGCGGCGCUCGCGGCCUCGACCACGCCGAGGAAGGCGCGGCUCGCCGGGCGCGACGCCGGCGUGCUGGACGCGGCCUUCGCGCGCUGCGGCGCGGUGUGCAAGGAGUACGCCAAGACCUUCUACCUGGCCACGCAGCUCAUGACGCCGGAGAGACGGCGGGCGAUCUGGGCGAUAUACGUGUGGUGCCGGAGGACGGACGAGCUGGUGGACGGCCCGAACGCGGCGCACACGUCGGCGCUGGCGCUGGACCGCUGGGAGUCGCGCCUCGACGGCGUCUUCGCCGGCCGGCCCUACGACAUGCUGGACGCGGCGCUGGCCGACGCCGUGGCCGCCUUCCCGGCCGUCGACGAGCGGCCGUUCCGGGACAUGGUCCAGGGCAUGCGCAUGGACCUCGCCAAGUCCCGCUACGCCACCUUCGACGAGCUCUACCUCUACUGCUACCGCGUGGCCGGCACCGUCGGGCUCAUGACCGUCCCCGUCAUGGGCGUCUCCCCGGGCUCCCAGGCGGACGUCGAGACGGUGUACGCCGGCGCGCUCGCCCUCGGCGUCGCCAACCAGCUCACCAACAUCCUCAGGGACGUCGGCGAGGAUGCGAGGAGGGGCAGGAUCUACCUGCCGCAGAACGAGCUGGCCACGGCCGGCAUCUCCGAGGCGGACAUCUUCGCCGGCCGCGUCACCGACGAGUGGAGGAGCUUCAUGAAGGGCCAGAUCGCGAGGGCCAGGGCCUACUUCCAGCAGGCCGAGCAAGGCGCCGCCGAGCUCAACCAGGAGAGCCGAUGGCCGGUGUGGGCAUCUCUGCUUCUGUACCGUCAGAUCCUGGACGAGAUCGAGGCCAACGGCUACGACAACUUCAGCAAGCGGGCCUAUGUUCCCAAGGCCAAGAAGCUGGCGGCGCUGCCCAAAGCUUACCUCAGAUCCCUCAUGCCCCCUCCUUCGCAGACGCGCCGUUAA
Molecule: ribosomal RNA, 1206 nt
Filed under: Triticum aestivum (bread wheat)
Lineage: Eukaryota; Viridiplantae; Streptophyta; Magnoliopsida; Poales; Poaceae
Description: partial small subunit ribosomal RNA
Source: RNAcentral